This 1558-nucleotide long non-coding RNA is filed under the name Homo sapiens (human). RNAcentral's name for it is "HSALNT0123421". Lineage: Eukaryota; Metazoa; Chordata; Mammalia; Primates; Hominidae. The record is from RNAcentral.
CCACAGCAAGAGUGUUUCAAAUCUGCUCUCUCUAAAGCAAGGUUCAACUCUGUGAGUUGAAUACACACAACACAAAAAAGUUCCUGAGAACUCUUCUUAGUCUAGCAUGAAAGGAAGAAACCCCGUUUGCAACGAAGCCCUCAAAGAGGUCCAAAUAUCCACUUGCAGACAUAACAAGCAGAGUGUUUCUAAACUGCUCUAAGAAAAGAAAGGUUAAACUCUGUGAGUUGAAGGCACACAUCACAAAGUAGUUUCUGAGAAUGAUUCUGUCUAGUUUUUAUUUGAAGAUAUUUCCUUUUCUACUGUUGGCAUCAAAUCGCUUGAAAUCUCCACUUGCAAAUUCCACAAAAAGAGUGUUUCAAAUCUGCUCUGUGUAAAGGGACGUUCCACUCUGUGAGUUGAAUACACACAGCACAAAGAAGUUACUGAGAAUUCUUCUGUCUAGCAUGAAAUGAAGAAAUCCCGUUUCCAACGAAGGCCUCAAUGCGGUCCAUAUAUCCACUUGCAGACUUUACAAACAGAGUGUUUCCAAACUGCUCUAUGAAAAGAAAGGUUAAACUAUGUGAGUUGAACGCACACAUCACAAAGAAUUUUCUGAGAAUGAUUCUGUCUGGUUUUUAUUUGAAGAUAUUUCCCUUUCUACUGUUGGCAUCAAAUGGCUAGAAAUCUCCACUUGCAAAUUCCGCAAAAACAGUGUUUCAAAUCUGCUCUGUCUAAAGGGACGUUCCACUCUGUGAGUUGAAUGCACACAACACAAAGAAUUUACUGAGAAUUCUUCCGUCUAGCAUUAUAUGAUAAAAUCCCGUUUCCAACGAAGGCCUCAAACAGGUCCAUAUAUCCAAUUGCAGACUUUACAAACAGUGUGUUUCCAAACUCCUCUAUGAAAAGAAAGGAUAAACUCUGUGAGUUGAACGCACACAUCACAAAGCACUUUCUGAGAAUGAUUCUGUCUUGUUUUUAUUUACAGAUAUUUCCUUUUCUACUGUUGGCAUCAAAUCGCUUGAAAUCUCCACUUGCAAGUUCCACAAAAAGAGUGUUUCAAAUCUGCUCUGUGUAAAGGGACGUUCCAGUCUGUGAGUUGAAUACACACAACACAAAGAAGUUACUGAGAAUUCUUCUGUCUAGCAUGAAAUGAAGAAAUCCCGUUUCCAACGAAAGCCUCCAAGCGGUCCAUAUAUCCACUUGCAGACAUUACCAACAGAGUGUUUCCAAACUGCUCUAUGAAAAGAAAGGUUAAACUAUGUGAGUUGAAAGCACACAACACAUAGAAUUUACUGAGAAUUCUUCCGUCUAGCAUUAUAUGUUAAAAUCCCGUUUCCACCGAAGGUCUCAAACAGGUCCAUAUAUCCACUUGCAGACUUUACAAACAGUGUGUUUCCAAACUCCUCUAUGAAAAGAAAGGUUAAACUCUGUGAGUUGAACGCACACAUCACAAAGCACUUUCUGAGAAUGAUUCUGUCUUGUUUUUAUUUGCAGAUAUUUCCUUUUCUACUGUUGGCAUCAAAUCGCUUGAAAUCUCCACUUGCAAAUUCCACAAAAAGAGUGUUUCAAAUCUGCU